Molecule: non-coding RNA, 277 nt
Organism: Lolium perenne
Lineage: Eukaryota; Viridiplantae; Streptophyta; Magnoliopsida; Poales; Poaceae
Source: RefSeq, a predicted model, not a curated record
GUAUAAGGUGUAAGUUGUUCUAUGAUCAAGCUAUACAAUUCCAAGUCGUCCAUAACCGCGGACACGGCUUAUCGAUAAGAUGUACACCCUGCAGGGGUUGCCCAAAUGUAACCAUACGCAUGCUCGAACCCACUUACUACAGGUGGAGUCUCACAUCAAGACCGUUCCCAAUGCAAGAGAAAAUUUAAUGGGAGCCACCCAACUAAGCUACCCGUGACGAAGUUCGGCCGUACUCCGAUACGGACCCAGAGGUUUGCGUCGGCUUCCAAGGCGGGCA